RNAcentral lists this ribosomal RNA (209 nucleotides) under uncultured bacterium. Its description in RNAcentral is "partial 16S ribosomal RNA". It matches the Rfam family "Bacterial small subunit ribosomal RNA", at positions 568 to 774 of the family's 1533-position model. The record is from RNAcentral.
CACGUAGGCGGACACUUAAGUCAGGGGUGAAAUCCCGGGGCUCAACCUCGGAAUUGCCUCUGAUACUGGGUGUCUCGAGUCCGAGAGAGGUGAGUGGAACUCCGAGUGUAGAGGUGAAAUUCGUAGAUAUUCGGAAGAACACCAGUGGCGAAGGCGGCUCACUGGCUCGGUACUGACGCUGAGGUGCGAAAGCGGUGGGGAGACAAACA